Glycine soja is the source of this 1737-nucleotide RNA transcript. It is a transcript of the gene named tobamovirus multiplication protein 1-like, with no coding region annotated. The transcript has 14 exons. NCBI's taxonomy places the organism in Eukaryota, Viridiplantae, Streptophyta, Magnoliopsida, Fabales, Fabaceae. The record is from RefSeq and is a predicted model, not a curated record.
AUCGAUGCCCUUCACUAAAUCAGCGAAAGUGUGUCACGUUUGUUGAUGCUGUUGUUAUUGUUGAUGGUGUUGCGGUGAAAGAAUCUGCGAUACGAUACGCACACACAUCAUCAUCACAUGCAUAUUAUGCGUAUAUACGCGUAGAUCUGGAAGAGAGGGUAGAAAGAACAGAGAGAGAAGAAGAACAACAACGCAAAGCGGUGUUCGUUCCGCACGCACGCACGAGGCCAUGUCGGGAUUCAGAGACACUCACGGUUUUCCUCGUCCAAUCCUCGCUGUGAAUCUCGCUCUCGCUCUUCUCCACGCCGCCGUUGCGUUCCUCGCGUUCUUUCAGUUGCUGAGAAUUCACAUGAGGAAUGCGCAGCUUGGUUGGACUCGGCAAAAGGUGUUCCAUGUAUUGAUUGGCUCUUCUAAUUUGGGUUAUGUCAUUUAUUUGGCAUUGACAAUUGUUGCUUCCUGCAAGGGAUGGACCUGUUGGUCGCACUCUUGUGGUUUCAUAUUUAUGGCUUUCCCCAAAGUACUUUUUUUUGCAGCAUUUCUUCUUCUUUUAUCCUUCUGGGUUGACCUUUGCCAUCAGGCAGAUGAUGAUGAUGACUAUGAAGGAAGUUUUUGUGACAACCCUUUGCUGGAGAAGACUUUAAAUGAAUCAAAUUUAGCAAGCAUAGAUAGCCAUAGAAAGUGCUUUCCUUUUCGGUUUGCUCGUGUUGGAAAUCGGCAAAAAAUUGUGAUUUUGGUUACUUUGCUAGUUUUCAUCAUCGUGGUUGCUUUUGCUGUAGUAAUCUGGAUUGGGCUAGGAAAGAAUCCCAUUGAUUCUGAAGUGGCAGCUCGGGUAUAUUUAUAUCUUUCUGCUAUUGGGAUGCUUUUGUUGGGAGGAGCAUUAGCAUGCUAUGGAAUUCUAUUAUGCUUGAAAAUGAGCAAAGUGAGAGCCGAGAAACCUUCAUCUGAAAUGUGGAAGGUUGCAGGUUUAACUAUUGUCUCUGUAAUAUGCUUCACAUCAAGUUCCUGUGUAGAACUUUUAACCGACAUCCCUAUGCAGUAUAACUGGCAUCAGCGGCGUCUGAAUGAUGUUUACUCCUCUCUUUUACUCAUUUUGUAUUAUUUUGUGGGUUCAUCAAUACCUUCAGCAGUGGUACUGUGGGUAAUGAGAGAAUUACCACCUGAAGAAGCUGCUAGCAUACCCGAAGAAUCAAGUACAAUAGCUUUUGUUGCUGAUAGUUCAAUUGCAAUCCAUCAUCCUCAACGCUGGGCUACAGCAACAAGCAUGCAGAAUCAGAAAAUUAUUUUUUAAUAUGAACAUGGAAUGCUUGACUUUGACAGGCAGCACUUUAAGAUUCACAUUCAUAUUGUUUCCUACAAGUGUCAUCGCACAAGACAUCAAGAGCGAGUCCUAUAUGAUUAUGCAUUAACCUUUGCAAAUAUAUCUUGGUCUGCUGGAGUUUGGACAGCUUAAUGGAAUUUCCUCAGGAUGUUUAACCCUAGAGCGCAGAAGAGAGAAAAUGAUAAUGAUGGAUGCAAGUUCUCAAGGGACUUGAGGUUUCCCUUCCCACUGUAUUUACAAUCUAAAUCUAAAUGUAUAUAGCAGCAAUUUGAUAUAUGAAAAGUUCUUUUCCUUCUAUACAAAUUUUGGUACACUACUGUUUCAAUGCUGGUUGGGUAUUUUUCUGAGUUUGAAUGAUUCCCUUCUGAUGUGAAUAUGACUGUUGCAGAGUGAGCAUAUUCUUCUAUCCUGCUUGCAAG